GUGGGGAAUAUUACACAAUGGAGGAAACUCUGAUGUAGCAACGCCGCGUGGAGGAUGACACAUUUCGGUGCGUAAACUCCUUUUAUAUGGGAAGAUAAUGACGGUACCAUAUGAAUAAGCACCGGCUAACUCCGUGCCAGCAGCCGCGGUAAUACGGAGGGUGCAAGCGUUACUCGGAAUCACUGGGCGUAAAGCGCGCGCAGGCGGCUUUGUAAGUUGGAUGUGAAAUCCUAUGGCUUAACCAUAGAACUGCAUCCAAAACUACUUAGCUAGAGUCUGGGAGGGGAAGAUGGAAUUAGUGGUGUAGGGGUAAAAUCCGUAGAGAUCACUAGGAAUACCAAAAGCGAAGGCGAUCUUCUGGAACAGUACUGACGCUGAGGCGCGAAAGCGUGGGGAGCAAACAGGAUUAGAAACCCUAGUAGUCC
Molecule: ribosomal RNA, 425 nt
Filed under: uncultured Sulfurovum sp.
Lineage: Bacteria; Pseudomonadati; Campylobacterota; Epsilonproteobacteria; Campylobacterales; Sulfurovaceae
Description: bacterial SSU rRNA
Rfam family: Bacterial small subunit ribosomal RNA
Source: RNAcentral